UAUUGGGCAAUGCCCGCAAGGGUGACCCAGCAACGCCGCGUGGAGGAUGAAUGUCGUAAGAUUGUAAACUCCUGUUAGAGGGGAAGAAUAGUACCGGUUGGACCGGUAUAUGACUGUACCCUCAGAGAAAGCCCCGGCUAACUACGUGCCAGCAGCCGCGGUAAUACGUAGGGGGCAAGCGUUGUCCGGAUUUACUGGGUGUAAAGGGCGCGCAGGCGGGAUAAAAAGUCAGUGGUGAAAUCCUACAGCUUAACUGUAGAACUGCCUUUGAGACUUGUAUUCUUGAGUUCGGGAGAGAGAGACGGAAUUCCAGGUGUAGUGGUGAAAUACGUAGAUAUCUGGAAGAACACCAGUUGCGAAGGCGGUCUCUUGGUCCGACACUGACGCUGAGGCGCGAAAGCGUGGGGAGCAAACA
RNAcentral lists this ribosomal RNA (415 nucleotides) under uncultured bacterium. Its description in RNAcentral is "bacterial SSU rRNA". It matches the Rfam family "Bacterial small subunit ribosomal RNA", at positions 362 to 774 of the family's 1533-position model. The record is from RNAcentral.